GGAAGCUGUGGCCAAGAAUGGAUAACAACCACAUUUUAUUCGGACACCAAAGCAAGUUGCAAUCUGAAUUGCAACCACACCUUGCAAUGGCGCCAACACAUGCAACAGAAACAGAAUUUGCACUUGGUAUGUUUAUUUCCGUUGCUCUUAAAAAUGCAAACCCACGCUAGAGCCCAUGCCAAAGACAGCUGGAACAAAUUGCAUCACCUGGAUUUUGGGGUUUGUAAUAGCUAGCCUAUGUUGGUGUGCAAAUUGGCCAGUUGUAUGCUAUUUUAAACCCUUCCUGCUCCCUUUCCCAUUUUGUGCCAAGGGCACACAAAGCUGCCCAGAAGGAAGGAAUUCAAUCAGCAUCAGAAGAAUGCAUUGAAGUCCUGUUUCCUAAACCCCAGGGGAGAGCUGAGUGGGAGGGAAGGACCCAGCUAGCUAAGGACAGAGUCCUUUUUAUGUGUCUGUUUCCCCAAGCAGAAUGCUGGGCCCAACUGAUGAAUGUUAGUGGGAGGGAACAAUGGAAGAGGGUGGCUGGAUGGCAAUGAGAGGCCUGGGAAGGGCCUGGGGAUGAGGAGGGGGUGGAAGCACUUCCUGAGGAUCCAUCCAGGCCCAGAGUUUUCAGCCGCCACCUCCAGAGCUCCGCCUGCCUGCUUGGCCAGGUCCAGUUGGCCCUGGCAGAAAGUCAUCACCCUGUCCUUGCCAGCACUCCAUCCUUGGCUAUAAGUCUUAUCUGGUCAAGCUGCUCUCUGUAUUGGACCCUCCUGUCAAGUAUCUGGACUUCUGGGCUGAUAGUCACCUUUUUUCUGUGAUGUUUCUCCCUGGUCAGUCUCAGAAUUAAUACAUUUUUCCUCUGCUAGUCCCCUCUCCUCUUCUGAAACAGCAUGGAGGUUCUGUCCACUCUAAACUCACCCAGGGUUUGGGCUGGGCUGGGCCGGAUGCCCUGCAUGCUGAUAACUCCAUGUGGCCAGCCCACGCCCUGGGUUAUUUGCCAACCUGCCUUCCAGUUUUGCACAGUGCCAUACCUCAGGUGCCUUCUCAUGCCAGCUAGUCAGAAUGGAGUGUUCUCCUAUAGGACCCAGGGAUAGGUUAGGGUUUGAAGUCCCUCACAAGGCCUCUAGGGUGUCAAGGCACAGGGCAUCUCAUGGAAGCAUUGGUGUGGGAUCAAGUCCAUCCUAAAAAAAAGUCCUAUGCUGUAUUAUACCUGCUAAGGGGCAAGGCUGGCCCCUCAAAUAAUAGGUGUCAUAGGUAAGCCUCUAGUACAGUGCCACCUGCAUGUUCUAGGUGCUCAGUAAUGUAGAAUAACAAAUACUUGAGUGGCCAGGGCAGUCUGAUUACUAAGAACAACCCAGAAGAGGCAGGUAUUUUUUUAUGAAUGAAAUAUUUCACACCCAGAGGACUUUGUUUUACCAUUGUUAAUAUAAACUGUGAAUUUAGGAUUUUUUUUUUUUUUUGAGACAGUCUUGCUCUGUCUUCCAGGCUGGAAUGCAGUGGCACGAUCUCAGCUCACUGCAAUCUCCACCUCCCGGGUUCAAGCAAUUCUCCUGACUCAGCUGGGAUUACAGGCCUGUGCUACCAUGCCCAGCUAAUUUUUGUGUUUUUUAAUAAAGAUGGGGUUUCACCAUGUUGGCCAGGCUGGUCUCAAACAUCCUGACCUCAAGUGAUCUGCCUGCCUCGGCUUCCCAAAGUGCUGGGAUUACAGGCGUGAGCCACCACCCAGCCAUUUUUUUUUUUUUUUUUUUGAGACAGAGUCUUGCUCUGUCACCCAGGCUGCAGUGUGGCAAGAUCUCACUAUCUUACUCACUGCAAACUCUGCCUUCUGGGUUCAGGCGAUUUUUAUGCCUCAGCCUCCCUAGUAGCUGGGACUACAGGCAUGCACCACCACACCUGGCUAAUUGUUUUUUUUUUUUUUUUUUUUUUUUGUAUUUUUUUGUAUUUUUUAGUAGUGAU
RNAcentral lists this long non-coding RNA (1935 nucleotides) under Homo sapiens (human). RNAcentral's name for it is "HSALNT0251283". Lineage: Eukaryota; Metazoa; Chordata; Mammalia; Primates; Hominidae. The record is from RNAcentral.